Molecule: long non-coding RNA, 1193 nt
Filed under: Oreochromis niloticus (Nile tilapia)
Lineage: Eukaryota; Metazoa; Chordata; Actinopteri; Cichliformes; Cichlidae
Description: lncRNA (ENSONIG00000039764.1)
Source: RNAcentral
CUUAAAUACUUAAAAAAUUAUCUUUUUCUGAACAGCCCUCAUCACUCCAGUCUGCCCCCCAGCCCACUGAUAGCAACCAUCAUAAUGCCACACCCAGCUUCCGGUACCUUUCGCCACUCCGGCACAAACCGACACAGCUUUGUGAUCUCGCCAGCAUGCAGUCUGAUGUCUUCCCUAUAGAUGAUUCCAGAGACUCUGUGAGGCCACUAUUACAAGGCAAGUUUGAAAAUCUUGGAAUUUCACAGUUUACAUGGUAUAACAAAUAUAUGUGACAGGCAAAAACUAGUAAACACUCUUAGCAGUUACAAGAACUAACAAAUGAAUAUCCAACAAAAGGGAAUAGAAAUACAUUGUACUGCCAGUACUUUGGUUUAUUCUUUGUAUGACUUGAAAAUCAGGCUUUAGGGAAAACUAAAUGACAUGUUUCUAUCAUCAAUUACAUGAAGUAAACACACAAGCACUUGCAUACACAUUUAAGACAUGAGACACGCUAAUUCCAUCUCAUAAAAUGUGUCUAUAGGUGAGACGCUUUGCGUUGAUUGGUGCUGCUGGACCACACUGGAGGUGCGAGUCUGCCGUGUAAUGGUUUAUGCCAUUACAAAGGAGCUGGCCUCUGUACUCAACUGGGCAGGGAAAAAAAACCAAGGACCAGACAAAGCAAAAAAGGGCAUUUAAAGAGACAGCGCUGUGCAGAUGCAUAUUUGAUGGCCUGGCGCAGCAGGUAGGGGCGAACUCUAUGUCUGAGUUGGUCUUUGCUUAAGCAGUCCAGAAAUGGCUCAGAUAUGCUCCAGAUCGUACGGGUGGCGCGCAGGACACACAUCAUCCAUCCCCAUCCCGGAGUAAAUAAUAAAAAGUGACGUGAAACAUAGAAAUGUAAAUAGGAAACUUUGUCUUUUAAUAAAGUAUUUUGCAAAUGAUACAUGUCUAUUGACCUUGUUUGUUUGUUUUUUUCAAUAAAAAGCAACUGUGCAAAAGAGGUGGAAAAUUAACACCAUAGCUCAACAGUGUUUCAAUAUCAGAAUCUGACAUUGUUUCAAUGUCAACAGUAUUCGAAAAUAUAACGUCGAAUCAAUGUCAGGUUUCAACAUUGAUUCAACAUCAAAACCUGACGUUGUUUCAACGUUAAAAAUGGGUGCAAGAAUGACGUUGGGUCAACGUCACACUUCAACGUUGCUUCAAUGACGUCGCCUGAU